UCUUGGGUAGCUUAAAUUAAAGCAUAACUUUGAAGGUGUUAUUAUGGGCUUUCCCCCUAAGUU
RNAcentral lists this transfer RNA (63 nucleotides) under Franciscoloa pallida. RNAcentral's name for it is "tRNA-Phe". The record is from RNAcentral. Lineage: Eukaryota; Metazoa; Arthropoda; Insecta; Psocodea; Menoponidae.